This 28-nucleotide non-coding RNA is filed under the name Rattus norvegicus (Norway rat). Lineage: Eukaryota; Metazoa; Chordata; Mammalia; Rodentia; Muridae. The record is from RNAcentral.
UAGCCAUUUGCGUGAUUUUUGAAUGAAC